UUCUGAGUUGUGCUUCUAAUGAAACUGCUUAUGAGAAAAAGUACUUCUUGUACAGGCAGUCCCAUACAAGCCCGGGUUUUUUAGUUAAAGAUUUAAGCUUUUUGGCAAUUGAGAAUUGGGAUCUUUCAUAUUUUGGGUCUGCCCAAUUGGGCUUGAUUUUUCAUGGAUUGUUGUUUUAAGGGAGUAUCAGACUGGAGACAACAUAAAGCCAUUGGAUUGGACCCCAAACCAAAAGUGUGCAAAGCGUUGUUCAUAUCCACCAAGAUAUGAAUGUUUUACAGUCAGCCCUACCCUUUUGAAGGCCUCCAAAAUUACACCGUGUUCGUCUCACAGGGUUGAGCCGACCACAUUUUAUUUCUAUACCUGCAACGAGUGAAAUCCACCAUUUUCAGGACGGACCAUGCCAGUUUCUGGUCCUCGGAGCUACCAGGAGAGAAUAGCCCAACUACCACAAUAAAUCACUUGAUAAGUAACAAUCCUGAUCGCGUUCUAUCGAUUGGUGAUGUUACUUAUGCAAACCUCUACCUCACAAAUGGAGCUGGCUCCGACUGCUAUUCUCGCUCAUCUCCAAACUCUCCAAUACACGAGACCUAUCAGCCUAGAUGGGAUUUCAAGUUUGUGUAGGUAUAUGCAGAGUUUAGCUUCCAAAGUUCCAAUAAUUUCGGUCCAAGUGAACCAUGAAAUAGAACAACAGGCUGAAAAUAAGACAUCUGAAGAAAGCAGAUCCUUGUCCACGUUCUACUACUCAUUUAAAAUGCUUGGAGCUUACAUUGUACCUAUGGCGUUGAUACAGUUUUCAGUUGCAACAUCACGAUCAAAUCACUCAGCGCAAUAUUUGUUCAUAUGGGGACCCGAGUUCAUGAAGAUCCUGUGACUGACUAGAAUAUCGUCGUUGUGUUUUGUGUAGCAGACAUACAGGUCUAGGCUGCGGUCUGCAGAGAAUGUAUGUACUAGAAUUAUACUAGUUUAACCACCUGGAUUAUAUUCUAACCGUGGGAUUCAAUGUGCAUAACUUGCAGGUGAAGAAUGA
Pyrus x bretschneideri (Chinese white pear) is the source of this 1030-nucleotide long non-coding RNA. RefSeq lists it as uncharacterized. NCBI's taxonomy places the organism in Eukaryota, Viridiplantae, Streptophyta, Magnoliopsida, Rosales, Rosaceae. The record is from RefSeq and is a predicted model, not a curated record. The transcript has 2 exons.